AGCGCUCUCGGCGCGUUUCUCGGGCUGCCGAGGGCGCGCACACUGUCUGUCGCAUAUACAAUUUACCGACCACAUUACGGGCCCUUUUAGUUCCAAAUAGUGAAAUAGUGAUAGUAGUAGAUGUCGCUAGUUAGGAUUUUCACUAUAAUAUAACAUAGAUACUUCUAUAUUUUAUAUAGUUCAUAACGAAUUGGUCGUGUAAACAUCAUUCACGUGUUGCUUGGUUGUGUAACGUCUUUCACGUGUUUCUUUCGAAUGUUUAUGCAUUGUUCAUCAUGGGGAAGACAAAAGUAGAGGAGAGAAAAGGGAUAAAAGCAAAAAAUAGGCGUGCCUCGAAACCGAGAAACAGCAAAAAGAAGCCGCAGAAUCGAUACGUGUUAGAAGGAGAAAGUGAGAGUGUCAGUACAUCGGCAAAGAAACUGAAACAGAGUGAAGAUGAAUAUCAUAUCAAUGUGGACGCAACUACUGGUUAUCGUUUCAUCGAUUUUGUGACUGUUUUUGCAGCAAUGUCUGAAUUUCUAGUGUGCAAAGUGUGUAAAUCUCCCGUAAAGUUUCAAGAAGCAAGUAUUCGAGGAUUGGGUUUCAAAAUUGCAGUUCUUUGUGAACAAUGCUCACCGAAAUAUAUAAAGUCGUGUCCCGUCAUAAAUAAUCAUGCAUAUGAUAUAAAUCGUCGUAUAGUUUUUGUUAUGCGAUUGCUCGGUGUUGGUGUAAAUGGAAUUAAAAAAUUCUGUUCAUUCAUGUGUCUACUACAUCCAGUAUUCCAGUCAUUUUAUGACAAAAUCGUUUCGACUAUUUCUAUUGCUACCGCAGCCGUACGAGAGAAAUCAAUGAAGAACGCAGCUGCUAAAGAGAAAGAAUUGUCAGUACAGAAGGGACUUACAGAAGGAAUAGUAGUUUCAGGCGACGGCAUGUGGAAGAAGAGGGGAUUCUCGUCUUUAUUAGGCGUUACGUCAUUGAUAGGAUGGUGCACCGGGAAAGUCAUUGAUGUUAAUGUAAAGUCGAAAAUAUGUAAUCAAUGCAAUUACUGGAAAGGAAAAGAAGGAACGGCAGAAUACGAAGAAUGGACUGCGACACACGAAGAUAGCUGUCAAAAAAAUCACGAGGGAUUGGCUGGAAAAAUGGAGGUUGACGCAAUUAUUGAAAUGUUUCAACGAUCAGACGAACUCCAUAGUUUGAAAUAUAGUCACUACAUAGGGGAUGGAGACAGUAAAACAUAUAAAGCAAUACGCAGGAAUCAUGAUUCAAUUGUAAACAUGAAGAAAGAAAUAUGGGCCACGCUUUAUCAUAAGAUUUCUACGGAUGACAACCCGCAGUACGAUAGAUGUCCAGAUGGCGAAAAUUCCUGGUGCUCAUGGAAACAGGCUAAAGCUCGCAACGAACUUGACAAUUAUCAACACAAACCAACAAUGAAAGAUGAAGUUUUCAAUGCUGUUAAACCCAUUUAUGAAGAAUUGUGCCGCGAUGAACUAUUAUCUCGGUGCUUGGGCGGGUUUACGCAGAACAGCAACGAGUGCUUCAAUUCUGUUCUGUGGGCUCUCGCUCCUAAACCUAUGUCCAGUGGCAAAAAAAUCGUUGACAUUGCUGCUGAUAUUGCAGUAUGUAAUUUUAACGAUAGGUUACACAGCAUUAUGAACAUUAUGCAAACUUUGAACCUGCCUAUAAGUCAAAGUUGCUAUACUUUUUGUGUACAAGCCGAUAAUUAUCGCAUUCAGAGAGCGGAAGGUUCGAUGACUGAAGCUGUUCGAGAGGCUAGAAGAAGUGGUAUUUCUGCUCGCAAGCUUACCAAUGAAGAGGAUAUAGAUGCUGAAGGAGUAUUGCAUGGCGCAGGCAUUGCAGAUUGACGCGGAUUGACUUGAAACUUUGCACAAUUCUUCCCCGUGGUAUAAUCUGACGAUGAGCCACGUACAGAGCGGAAUUUGACACGCCGUCUAACAGUGUUCCUCCAAAGGAAUGUAUUUUGGCGCCAUCUACAAGAGAUUAUUUUUGACUUUUUCAGUUUCAAAAAAUGUAUAAUUACAGAUUAAAGUUACAUUAAUGAAUGACUAAAACCGAUUUUGUUUCUGCGCAC
Molecule: unclassified non-coding RNA, 2068 nt
Filed under: Harpegnathos saltator (Jerdon's jumping ant)
Lineage: Eukaryota; Metazoa; Arthropoda; Insecta; Hymenoptera; Formicidae
Description: uncharacterized LOC112588080, transcript variant X4
Source: RNAcentral